RNAcentral lists this ribosomal RNA (468 nucleotides) under uncultured bacterium. RNAcentral describes it as "partial 16S ribosomal RNA". It matches the Rfam family "Bacterial small subunit ribosomal RNA", at positions 28 to 507 of the family's 1533-position model. The record is from RNAcentral.
GACGAACGCUGGCGGCGUGCUUAACACAUGCAAGUCGAACGGAAAGGCCCUGCUUUUGUGGGGUGCUCGAGUGGCGAACGGGUGAGUAGCACGUGAGUAACCUGCCCUUGACUUUGGGAUAACUUCAGGAAACUGGGGCUAAUACCGGAUAGGAGCUCCUGCUGCAUGGUGGGGGUUGGAAAGUUUCGGCGGUUGGGGAUGGACUCGCGGCUUAUCAGCUUGUUGGUGGGGUAGUGGCUUACCAAGGCUUUGACGGGUAGCCGGCCUGAGAGGGUGACCGGCCACAUUGGGACUGAGAUACGGCCCAGACUCCUACGGGAGGCAGCAGUGGGGAGUAUUGCACAAUGGGCGGAAGCCUGAUGCAGCAACGCCGCGUGCGGGAUGACGGCCUUCGGGUUGUAAACCGCUUUCGCCUGUGACGAAGCGUGAGUGACGGUAAUGAGUAAAGAAGCACCGGCUAACUACGUG